GGCUUAGUGUGGGUGCAAUAGGAGGCAGUGUUACUGCAAUAGGGAUUUAGCUAGGGGUGUGGAGCGUGAGGUGUGUCUAACCCUUUCGGUGGCUGGGGGGAUGUUGCCUGAGUGCUAAUUAAUGCAGCUCUUAGUGAAUUGUGUGAGUAUAAAUUUGAAUGAGGGUUAAAGGAAUUAUAGUAGAACUAAAAUAAAGUCUAGGUAAUAUGAAAGUGUGGAACAGGUUUGGUUAGCAUAAGAGUCCUCUUGCUGGUGGUCAAAGACGG
Molecule: non-coding RNA, 266 nt
Organism: Pelobates cultripes (western spadefoot toad)
Lineage: Eukaryota; Metazoa; Chordata; Amphibia; Anura; Pelobatidae
Source: the annotation of a GenBank genome assembly